UGGAUCCAGACUUUGAUCAUGGCUCAGGAUGAACGCUAGCUACAGGCUUAACACAUGCAAGUCGAGGGGAAACGACAUCGAAAGCUUGCUUUUGAUGGGCGUCGACCGGCGCACGGGUGAGUAACGCGUAUCCAACCUGCCCACCACUUGGGGAUAACCUUGCGAAAGUAAGACUAAUACCCAAUGAUAUCUCUAGAAGACAUCUGAAAGAGAUUAAAGAUUUAUCGGUGAUGGAUGGGGAUGCGUCUGAUUAGCUUGUUGGCGGGGUAACGGCCCACCAAGGCAACGAUCAGUAGGGGUUCUGAGAGGAAGGUCCCCCACAUUGGAACUGAGACACGGUCCAAACUCCUACGGGAGGCAGCAGUGAGGAAUAUUGGUCAAUGGACGAGAGUCUGAACCAGCCAAGUAGCGUGCAGGAUGACGGCCCUAUGGGUUGUAAACUGCUUUUAUAAGGGAAUAAAGUGAGUCUCGUGAGACUUUUUGCAUGUACCUUAUGAAUAAGGACCGGCUAAUUCCGUGCCAGCAGCCGCGGUAACACGGAAGGUCCGGGCGUUAUCCGGAUUUAUUGGGUUUAAAGGGAGCGUAGGCCGGAGAUUAAGCGUGUUGUGAAAUGUAGACGCUCAACGUCUGCACUGCAGCGCGAACUGGUUUCCUUGAGUACGCACAAAGUGGGCGGAAUUCGUGGUGUAGCGGUGAAAUGCUUAGAUAUCACGAAGAACUCCGAUUGCGAAGGCAGCUCACUGGAGCGCAACUGACGCUGAAGCUCGAAAGUGCGCGUAUCGAACAGGAUUAGAUACCCUGGUAGUCCGCACGGUAAACGAUGGAUGCCCGCUGUUGGUCUGAAUAGGUCAGCGGCCAAGCGAAAGCAUUAAGCAUCCCACCUGGGGAGUACGCCGGCAACGGUGCAACUCAAAUGAAUUGACGGA
RNAcentral lists this ribosomal RNA (926 nucleotides) under uncultured Bacteroidota bacterium. Its description in RNAcentral is "bacterial SSU rRNA". It matches the Rfam family "Bacterial small subunit ribosomal RNA", at positions 1 to 917 of the family's 1533-position model. The record is from RNAcentral. Lineage: Bacteria; Pseudomonadati; Bacteroidota.